Molecule: transfer RNA, 70 nt
Filed under: Thuricola similis
Lineage: Eukaryota; Ciliophora; Oligohymenophorea; Sessilida; Vaginicolidae
Description: tRNA-Trp
Rfam family: tRNA
About the family: Transfer RNA (tRNA) molecules are approximately 80 nucleotides in length. Their secondary structure includes four short double-helical elements and three loops (D, anti-codon, and T loops).
Source: RNAcentral
GGAGAAAUAGUUUAACGUAAAACUUCGGUCUUCAAAACCGACAUUAUAGGUUCGAAUCCUGUUUUCUUCG